AUCCAGCUGACUAGUUCCUAAUAGGACGAAAUGCGUAUCCUGGGU
Molecule: non-coding RNA, 45 nt
Filed under: Trichobilharzia regenti
Lineage: Eukaryota; Metazoa; Platyhelminthes; Trematoda; Strigeidida; Schistosomatidae
Source: RNAcentral